AAAUUGAAGAGUUUGAUCAUGGCUCAGAUUGAACGCUGGCGGCAGGCCUAACACAUGCAAGUCGAACGGUAACAGGAAACAGCUUGCUGUUUCGCUGACGAGUGGCGGACGGGUGAGUAAUGUCUGGGAAACUGCCUGAUGGAGGGGGAUAACUACUGGAAACGGUAGCUAAUACCGCAUAAUGUCGCAAGACCAAAGAGGGGG
This 204-nucleotide ribosomal RNA is filed under the name Escherichia coli. RNAcentral's name for it is "partial 16S ribosomal RNA". It matches the Rfam family "Bacterial small subunit ribosomal RNA", at positions 1 to 210 of the family's 1533-position model. Lineage: Bacteria; Pseudomonadati; Pseudomonadota; Gammaproteobacteria; Enterobacterales; Enterobacteriaceae. The record is from RNAcentral.